Molecule: long non-coding RNA, 336 nt
Organism: Pterocles gutturalis (yellow-throated sandgrouse)
Lineage: Eukaryota; Metazoa; Chordata; Aves; Pterocliformes; Pteroclidae
Exons: 3
Source: RefSeq, a predicted model, not a curated record
CAGAUAUGGACUGGUCCAUCUCUAAUAAAGACCUGGAGGCACAGAUCUCCAACUAUGCAAGUGUGAGGCACACCAGCAUGCGGUACUACACAGCUGAUAAAAAUGUUACCUGUAGAAACUGUGGUAGACCAGGUCAUUUGUCCAAGAACUGUCCUACUCCAAAGAAAGUGCCCCCUUGUUGCCUGUGUGCAGGAAGAGGUCAUCUACAGAACAGCUGCCCAGCACGAUUUUGCUUGAACUGCUGUUUGCCUGGCCACUAUUUCAGGGAGUGUCUUGAGAAAGCCUAUUGGAACAAACACUGCAACCGCUGUGAUAUGAAGGGGCAUUAUGCUGAUG